Molecule: transfer RNA, 76 nt
Filed under: Planctomycetales bacterium
Lineage: Bacteria; Pseudomonadati; Planctomycetota; Planctomycetia; Planctomycetales
Also listed under: 4 other names
Description: tRNA-Phe
Rfam family: tRNA
About the family: Transfer RNA (tRNA) molecules are approximately 80 nucleotides in length. Their secondary structure includes four short double-helical elements and three loops (D, anti-codon, and T loops).
Source: RNAcentral
GGCGCCUUAGCUCAGUUGGUAGAGCAGUGGCCUGAAGAGCCUCGUGUCGUUGGUUCGAAUCCAACAGGCGCCACCA